Long non-coding RNA from Corvus hawaiiensis (hawaiian crow), 2884 nucleotides. RefSeq lists it as uncharacterized. NCBI's taxonomy places the organism in Eukaryota, Metazoa, Chordata, Aves, Passeriformes, Corvidae. The transcript is spliced from 8 exons. The record is from RefSeq and is a predicted model, not a curated record.
AGUUCUCCUCUGUACUGUCUGUAAUAGAGGCCAACCACUCAACCUGUGUUGAAAUAAAACUCAGUAUUUCUCAUAGAAUGGUGAUUAAGUUCUCGGCAGAUCUUCUACCUUGCUACUGAAGAGGCUGCUAUACACUUGAACCAGUAGAAACACCAAAAACCAUCCAGAGCAUUUGAAACUCUGAUUUGUCAGCAGUUUCUCAUGCUCAAGGAGCAUCAAUAGAAGAAAUAUGGCCUCAAGCAGCUGGAAACUGGUAACAUUAUGCUUUGGGGCAAGACUGGUUCCUGAAGCUGGCUGAGAAAGGAUUCCCCAUGCCACUGCCUCUGUCAUACCCUUAAGGGAAGAAACAGUUCUGCUGACCUUCCAUUGAACAUCUUUCCACAACAAGUAUUGGUUUUAGGCCUUCUACUUUUUCUGAAUAGUGUAUCAGCAACCCACAGGAGAACAGGAGAGUGUGACAGGGCUUUGCUGUAAAAGGAUCAUUGUUUCAAGAGGUAUCAAUACAAGACCAUCAGCUCUCACAGACUUAAAUAAUUUUUUAAAAAUAAAGCCUAAGGAACAGCAGAGCAGUGAAACCAAGUCUCCAGACCUCACCGUGUGCUGUUGUUUCAGGCCUGACAUCUGCACGUGACCACUGGUCUCAGCCUCCUCUCUGGAGGGUGCUUCCCCCAGCACAGAGCAACCUUUGGUUUUCUAUCCAUUUCUCAGAAAAGAAAAACAAUUAAAAAUCAGCUUGUGAACUGAGGUGGGAUGGUGAAGGUUGGGACUGUCCGUACAGACUGGAACUGGAGCUGAAGGAGAGAGCCAAGAGAAGAGGAACCUUCUGUCAAGGUAUGACACGGCAAUUCUUCUGUGAUACUGAGAAUCAGGAUCAUUCUCUGUGGUACCUCUGGGCUUGUCAAACUCUCUUGCACACACCACCAACCCAAUCUGCCAAACUGACACAUGACCCUACAAAGAGUGUUUUGGACACAAAGAAAUUGCUUAAGUGAAUUCCGUAUUCCUUUCCAAGAUCAAAUCCAGCACUGGUCUUAUCUUUGGAAGUUCCUUGGUCUUUUAAAUCUGAGAUUUCAACAUAUUUCCAGCAAGGAGUAUGCAUUGAAAAUCUUUUCAUACCUCUUACAAAAAUACAGAGAUGUAUUUCAACUGCUGUCAUCCCUCUUAGCCUCCUGCAGACCAUCUGACCCAUCAGCUUGGCUUGCUACUGCUGCAAAACUGGGGUUUAACUUCAGGAAUGAACUUAGAGAUUGCUGUGGUUGCUACCUACUCAUGAUGGAGAAAGCAGGGCUAAAAUGCAGCUUGAAGGGAUACAGAAAGCUGGAGAGCCUGGUGGUAAUAAUUAGCAUCCCUUGAGGAGUGACUCCAUGUUCCUGAGCUGACCCCCAAGGUCUGGCUCUAACCCAACCUGAACAUCUCUAGGCCUCAGGAAUGACAUUUAAUUUUGAGAGCAUUUUGGCAGGCUUGGCAAGAAUGAACGAUCUGCUGAAGCCCAGCUCAAGAUGGUUCCUUCCCAGCCUGCAGAACUCCUCCUUGCUGGUGCUGCACCACAUUGGGUUAGUGGAGCUGGAAGCUCAGUUCAGCCAUGCACAACUCUGCUAUACUUCCACAUCGCUCCUGAAAAAGCAAGACAAGUAUCGUGCCAGUGGGCGUGUAUCUAUUUGGAGACAGCAAGAAGAAGGAAUGAAAGCCAGGACCUGAUUAUGAGAAAAUUGUACAGGGCUGACAAGCCUAUAACACUGCUUUCAGUUGUGACUUUUCCAAGUUCAAGUAUCUCUGAGGAUUGAUCAGCCUGGUGUGUGCAGGAAAAAAAAGUCUGAUUCAUUCACUGUUAGCUAAUUUAUUUCUGGAAACUAAUUACAUUUUUGAAGUAUUCUGUAAUAUUAUGAUGGACUCCUAGUUAAGUAAAAGAGUUGAAGCAAUCUGGUGAAAGAUGGAGUAUAAUUCUGCAUUGCUUUUCUUUACCCUGAGCAAAGCAUGGCUGGCAGUUUUCCACAAGUCUUUAUUACUUCUAAUGACAUAGCAAUUUUUACUCUGGGGAAGAAUAACUCAAGUAGUUGCAUACUAAGGACCCUACUUUUAUAAGCAUCUUAACCUCCUUUUUUUUUUUUUCCUUUCCUGAAUUUCACAUUUUGAAACACAGGUCCCAGGUUUUGCUUUUAGUGGCUGCCUGAACUGGCAUUGCUACAACUCAGACUGGUUUUAGGAUACAUAGUGUUACUCAGAAUCUCCUGUACUUUCUAAUAAAUAGUCACUCGAUUCAACUUCUUAUUUAAUAUACACUUCACACACUGUAGAGCUUAAAUUCACUUUCCUUUCCAAGUCUGUUUCAAUGAGCAGAGCGAUGAACAGUAAUACUGUGUUGAAUUUAGCUCAGCAUUUUUCCUCCGGCUGGCUGUCUCCUCAGCUUCUUCCUGAAAGGGCUGUACUACGUAUUACCUUGCUGUGGACAGCUAUACUGGUCUGCCUUAAAUCUGGGAAGGCUCAGUGAGCUGGAAGAAAAUACUUAAUAUUCCUUGAUAUCAGCACAUGCCAAGGGGGCCAUUUUUUUUUUUUUCAGUCAAACCCUGUCUCUUACAUUCUCUGAUGUAGCACAGAAAUAUGGCAGUUAAUAUAUAGGUUUUUUUAUCUCGGCUGAAGGCCUGUUAAAAAUGGUACUCUUAUCUGUUAUCCAUCAAAGAGUGUCAGAGGCCAGAUCCAAAGUAAGCAGAUUUCUAGGGUUUGCCUUCUUUCUGUCCAGAAGUGAUCCAGGGCUUGAGGACAUGCCAGGCAACACGUAAGUUUUCAAAAUUGUACUGUUGUUAUGUAUGCAUACAAACAUGUAAAAUGCAAACAUAAUGUGUAUAUGCUAUGUAGUUGCUACAUAAACAAGUAUGAAAAAUCCAGA